GGGUUGUGAGGUUAAGCGACUAAGCGUACACGGUGGAUGCCCUGGCAGUCAGAGGCGAUGAAGGACGUGCUAAUCUGCGAUAAGCGUCGGUAAGGUGAUAUGAACCGUUAUAACCGGCGAUUUCCGAAUGGGGAAACCCAGUGUGUUUCGACACACUAUCAUUAACUGAAUCCAUAGGUUAAUGAGGCGAACCGGGGGAACUGAAACAUCUAAGUACCCCGAGGAAAAGAAAUCAACCGAGAUUCCCCCAGUAGCGGCGAGCGAACGGGGAGCAGCCCAGAGUCUGAAUCAGUGUGUGUGUUAGUGGAAGCGUCUGGAAAGGCGCGCGAUACAGGGUGACAGCCCCGUACACAAAAAUGCACAUAUUGUGAGCUCGAUGAGUAGGGCGGGACACGUGGUAUCCUGUCUGAAUAUGGGGGGACCAUCCUCCAAGGCUAAAUACUCCUGACUGACCGAUAGUGAACCAGUACCGUGAGGGAAAGGCGAAAAGAACCCCGGCGAGGGGAGUGAAAAAGAACCUGAAACCGUGUACGUACAAGCAGUGGGAGCACAGAGCAAUCUGUGUGACUGCGUACCUUUUGUAUAAUGGGUCAGCGACUUAUAUUCUGUAGCAAGGUUAACCGAAUAGGGGAGCCGAAGGGAAACCGAGUCUUAACUGGGCGUUAAGUUGCAGGGUAUAGACCCGAAACCCGGUGAUCUAGCCAUGGGCAGGUUGAAGGUUGGGUAACACUAACUGGAGGACCGAACCGACUAAUGUUGAAAAAUUAGCGGAUGACUUGUGGCUGGGGGUGAAAGGCCAAUCAAACCGGGAGAUAGCUGGUUCUCCCCGAAAGCUAUUUAGGUAGCGCCUCGUGAAUUCAUCUCCGGGGGUAGAGCACUGUUUCGGCAAGGGGGUCAUCCCGACUUACCAACCCGAUGCAAACUGCGAAUACCGGAGAAUGUUAUCACGGGAGACACACGGCGGGUGCUAACGUCCGUCGUGAAGAGGGAAACAACCCAGACCGCCAGCUAAGGUCCCAAAGUCAUGGUUAAGUGGGAAACGAUGUGGGAAGGCCCAGACAGCCAGGAUGUUGGCUUAGAAGCAGCCAUCAUUUAAAGAAAGCGUAAUAGCUCACUGGUCGAGUCGGCCUGCGCGGAAGAUGUAACGGGGCUAAACCAUGCACCGAAGCUGCGGCAGCGACGCUUAUGCGUUGUUGGGUAGGGGAGCGUUCUGUAAGCCUGUGAAGGUGUGCUGUGAGGCAUGCUGGAGGUAUCAGAAGUGCGAAUGCUGACAUAAGUAACGAUAAAGCGGGUGAAAAGCCCGCUCGCCGGAAGACCAAGGGUUCCUGUCCAACGUUAAUCGGGGCAGGGUGAGUCGACCCCUAAGGCGAGGCCGAAAGGCGUAGUCGAUGGGAAACAGGUUAAUAUUCCUGUACUUGGUGUUACUGCGAAGGGGGGACGGAGAAGGCUAUGUUGGCCGGGCGACGGUUGUCCCGGUUUAAGCGUGUAGGCUGGUUUUCCAGGCAAAUCCGGAAAAUCAAGGCUGAGGCGUGAUGACGAGGCACUACGGUGCUGAAGCAACAAAUGCCCUGCUUCCAGGAAAAGCCUCUAAGCAUCAGGUAACAUCAAAUCGUACCCCAAACCGACACAGGUGGUCAGGUAGAGAAUACCAAGGCGCUUGAGAGAACUCGGGUGAAGGAACUAGGCAAAAUGGUGCCGUAACUUCGGGAGAAGGCACGCUGAUAUGUAGGUGAAGCGACUUGCUCGUGGAGCUGAAAUCAGUCGAAGAUACCAGCUGGCUGCAACUGUUUAUUAAAAACACAGCACUGUGCAAACACGAAAGUGGACGUAUACGGUGUGACGCCUGCCCGGUGCCGGAAGGUUAAUUGAUGGGGUCAGCGCAAGCGAAGCUCUUGAUCGAAGCCCCGGUAAACGGCGGCCGUAACUAUAACGGUCCUAAGGUAGCGAAAUUCCUUGUCGGGUAAGUUCCGACCUGCACGAAUGGCGUAAUGAUGGCCAGGCUGUCUCCACCCGAGACUCAGUGAAAUUGAACUCGCUGUGAAGAUGCAGUGUACCCGCGGCAAGACGGAAAGACCCCGUGAACCUUUACUAUAGCUUGACACUGAACAUUGAGCCUUGAUGUGUAGGAUAGGUGGGAGGCUUUGAAGUGUGGACGCCAGUCUGCAUGGAGCCGACCUUGAAAUACCACCCUUUAAUGUUUGAUGUUCUAACGUUGACCCGUAAUCCGGGUUGCGGACAGUGUCUGGUGGGUAGUUUGACUGGGGCGGUCUCCUCCUAAAGAGUAACGGAGGAGCACGAAGGUUGGCUAAUCCUGGUCGGACAUCAGGAGGUUAGUGCAAUGGCAUAAGCCAGCUUGACUGCGAGCGUGACGGCGCGAGCAGGUGCGAAAGCAGGUCAUAGUGAUCCGGUGGUUCUGAAUGGAAGGGCCAUCGCUCAACGGAUAAAAGGUACUCCGGGGAUAACAGGCUGAUACCGCCCAAGAGUUCAUAUCGACGGCGGUGUUUGGCACCUCGAUGUCGGCUCAUCACAUCCUGGGGCUGAAGUAGGUCCCAAGGGUAUGGCUGUUCGCCAUUUAAAGUGGUACGCGAGCUGGGUUUAGAACGUCGUGAGACAGUUCGGUCCCUAUCUGCCGUGGGCGCUGGAGAACUGAGGGGGGCUGCUCCUAGUACGAGAGGACCGGAGUGGACGCAUCACUGGUGUUCGGGUUGUCAUGCCAAUGGCACUGCCCGGUAGCUAAAUGCGGAAGAGAUAAGUGCUGAAAGCAUCUAAGCACGAAACUUGCCCCGAGAUGAGUUCUCCCUGACUCCUUGAGAGUCCUGAAGGAACGUUGAAGACGACGACGUUGAUAGGCCGGGUGUGUAAGCGCAGCGAUGCGUUGAGCUAACCGGUACUAAUGAACCGUGAGGCUUAACCUUACAACGCCGAAGGUGUUU
This 2933-nucleotide ribosomal RNA is filed under the name Escherichia coli. Its description in RNAcentral is "23S ribosomal RNA". It matches the Rfam family "Bacterial large subunit ribosomal RNA". The record is from RNAcentral. Lineage: Bacteria; Pseudomonadati; Pseudomonadota; Gammaproteobacteria; Enterobacterales; Enterobacteriaceae.